UAAUUAAUCAAUCGAAAUCUCAUCAUUCAAUUAUUCAAAUAAAGUCUUGGGUUAGUCACAAUCGGUACUUAAUAAAUUAAAUCACUCUUCGUGGGAACGACACUUUACUUAUUUCUAUAUUACUUGUGCGGAUUGUGCGCUUGUAAAUAAAUUCACAAGAAGUUUUUGUCCAUUGGGUUUGUUGAAAUCUGUUUAAACCAUUGGUCCAAUUCCGGAUUCCAAAUUGCUCAUUGGUGCUUACAGAGACAUCAACCUUCAGCAAAUGCAAAUGGGUCUUGACACCAAAUCUCGACAGAUGCACAGGGCAUAACCUAGCACCUCCAUCAAUUUAAUACAUUUCAGCUCCAAAAAAGGAUGGUAAGUUUCUCUAACUCUAUCUUUCUGGCGCUGGUCACUGAGACUAGUUGUGGGUAUACACUGACACUAGCACAGAUGCACUCCAGGUGUAUGAUGCAAUGACAAAGUGAGUUCUUGAGAUUUCAUUGGUUUGAUAAUUUCACCCAUUUCGAUCCCUUAAGCUUCCAAAAUCAUAGUUUUAGCUCCAAACUUUUGUUAGGAACAAUUGCCUAUAAAAUCCUCACUAAACACAUUAAACUAACCAAUUUCAUACAAAAACAAAGCAAAUAUAGAUAGAUUAUAUAUGCAAGAUAUUAAUCUAUCAGGCAUGUGAUUCUCAUAGGUACUAUCAUAUGUUCAAGUUUCCACCAUCUAUAGAUCAAAAGUUAAUUUCCUUCUUUUAAAAAAAAAUAAAAAAUUAGGACUCGUUUGUUUUUUUUUCAUAUAGAAAAUUGGGCCUUUCAAAGCUUUGUCGGUUUCUUUAAUUAUUACGAUGAAGUCAAAUAUAUAUCAGGACCUCUUUUUUUUCUUUUUGGUAAAAUGUAUAUCAAGACGUAACCUGGACGGUACAAAUCCUUGGUUUAUAUUAUAAGUUGAGCUUGUAAUGACUGUUCGUAAUUUCUGGGUUCAUGUCAUCCACAUUUUGUUAAGAAAUAUGUGGACCUUAGAUAAGAUAAGAUGAACACUUGAAGGCUUACAUACAUAUACAACAGAUACACACAAGUAAGAUAUUUUUAGAAAACAAGGACCACUUACGCAUGUUAAAUCCUUUUGUAUGAAUAUUGGACAAUCCUUGCAAUUAAAGGACGGGGGACUUGUCAUAUGCUAUAGCUACAACUAUCGAUUAGACGUGACUAAUUUAGUGAAAGCUACAACUGUAAAUUCAAUGUGUACUGGUGCAUGAAUUUCUUUGACAGAAAAUGAAGACGAUUGAUGAUCGUUGUAAAUACUGAUUAUAACCCUUACGCAUUUUAGAUGGAGAGAGAAAUCGUUUGCACAAUUCUGUUCAUACAAGGGCCACGUUUCUGUCUCGUGUAGUUAGAUGUGAGUUAACGUCACUGACGUCCAUUUCAUGUGACACGAAUGUCUUAUUCUAUCGUCCUCAUGUACAAGGUAAAUGCUUAAAACUGUUGUACAAAUUUAAAGGAAAAAGUUCUGAUUAAUUGUAAGAAACUGUCAUUGGUCAACUUGCUUAACUACGGGUUUAAUACAAAAACCAUUGUGCGAAAACUGCAUGGCAUAGCUGAACAAGAGGGGGAGGAGAAUGAAAAAAAGGAGGGAAGACGGUGGGGGAGGGAAUAGAUAAAUGGGGACGAGGAAGGUCAUCAAAGUUGAAGGGUAAAAUUGGAGUUGGAAAUCCAACUCGGAAAAGAAAAGUAUUACUUUGGUUUAAAAAUGCCAUGUGGGAACUUUUGAGUGGAAGUAUAACCUACUGAUGUUGUGAUUCUAUACCACUCGAACGAAAAAUUAUAGAAUGGUAUCGUAUAACCAUGUCAGUUGGUGAUACUCCAACUCAAUUUUUGCCAUGUGUCUUAUUAAAAAAAAAAAAAUUAAAACUCUUUAUCCAGCUGGAUUUGAAAGUUUAUUUUUACAUUGUCAACUUAAAAAAAUAAAAAUACAAAACUUAAAGAAAAAAAAUAGCAGCCCCAA
Long non-coding RNA from Prunus persica (peach), 1986 nucleotides. RefSeq lists it as uncharacterized. Lineage: Eukaryota; Viridiplantae; Streptophyta; Magnoliopsida; Rosales; Rosaceae. The transcript is spliced from 2 exons. The record is from RefSeq and is a predicted model, not a curated record.